RNAcentral lists this ribosomal RNA (406 nucleotides) under uncultured bacterium. Its description in RNAcentral is "partial 16S ribosomal RNA". It matches the Rfam family "Bacterial small subunit ribosomal RNA", at positions 30 to 526 of the family's 1533-position model. The record is from RNAcentral.
AUUGAACGCUGGCGGCAGGCCUAACACAUGCAAGUCGAACGAGUGGCGGACGGGUGAGUAAUGUCUGGGAAAAUGCCAGAUGUAGGGGGAUAACUACUAGAAACGGUAGCUAAUACCGCAUACCAUCAGAGCUGCCCAGAUGGGAUUAGCUUGUUGGUGGGGUAACGGCUCACCAAGGCGACGAUCCCUAGCUGGUCUGAGAGGAGGACCAGCAACACUGGAACUGAGACACGGUCCAGACUCCUACGGGAGGCAGCAGUGGGGAAUAUUGGACAAGGGGCGCAAGCCUGAUGCAGCCAUGCCGCUUGUAUGAGGAAGGCCUUCGGGUUGUAAAGUACUUUCAGCAGGGAGGCGUUACCCGCAGAAUAAGCACCGGCUAACUCCGUGCCAGCAGCCGCGGUAAUAC